CAAGCUGAUGACACAGCAACCUGGGAAACUCUUCCCUGUGGGAGAAGAAAGGCCCAGGGACAGCGGAGGACACUGAGGCUGGCAGGCAGAGGUCUCAGACACCAGCAUGAAGUGGAGUUGCAGGCACAGAGGCCAUUGCCCAAUUUUUAUUUUAGAUCUUCCUGGGCUUCCUUUCUUUGGGAAGGGUAGAUGUGUGCUGCUUGGUCUCCAGGAUGAACCCGUCACGCUCGCUUCCUGGCAUGUACCCGACUGUGCUUCUCAUGGGAGGAGCUCAGGCCUCCGUGUCACUGAGGAUGGCUGUGGUGCCUUUCAGGACAUCCCUGGUCUUUGUUGUGAGUGUGACUUCUCGGCUCCAGUGUAGAACCCUCAACCUACCAGCAAACCUCGCUGGCAUGGACUUUCUGGCUUCUACCGCUGACCUUUGGGCCUUUCCAGGCUCUGAUCUGUAAAACAUAUUGGUGUGAGUCGUUGUGGGCUCUAGACCUCCAGUUGGACUCAUGGGAGGCACUGUCAGGGACUCUAGGUUUUCAUCUGGACUCAUGCAGGACAUUGCUGUGGGAUUCAGGACCUUGGCUGAAUAUUCUAUGUCUUUGGUGUUGUGGAUAGAUUUCCUGCACUAAUGCUUUUUCUGGGUGACCAUCAUAAAAUAAUAUUAUAAAUUCCAUGUCCUGAUUUUAACUGUUCUCCUCACAACCCCUGACUACAACAAGGGAUAAAAGAAGAUCAGGCUCCUAAGACCUUGACCAAACCCCAGUCUCAUGCUGAGAGCACAGGAGGGUAAUGUUACACACAGGAAAGUGAAGUUACUACAGGCAGCUAAGUUUGAUAGAAAUCAGUGGGGGACUGAACACUCAAGGAAGACAGCAGAAAACACGAAGGCUUUAGAACCCGGGCUGGAGGUGCACCUGUUGAAGGCCAGGCCUCAAGAUAGAGAUGUAGGGCUGGGGAUUUAGCUCAGCAGCAUAAACGCCUGCCUUGCAAGUGCAUGGUCGUGAGUUCAAUGCCCAGUACCAAAAAAAAAAAAAAAAAGAUAGAGAUGUAAAGGCCCACACAUCUCCCUAAGGAUAAGCAGGAACUUGGAACUAUAAUUGGUAUCUCCUGGUCCAGUGAAGUCCAGAUAAGAUAUCAACCACCGAGCAGGUGACCAAAGCACCCAAACCCAUUCCUUCCCAAAAAUGCUCCUUCCACAUACCUGCCCUACUGAGUGGCUAUACUUAACAUCUUAUUGGUUGGUUACAGUUUAACCCACACUAUACCCCACCUUAUGAUUUGGCUGUAUAAAACAUUCCUAGAUACACUCAUCAGUAACCAAUACACUAACACAGUUCCUACAGAAAUGACCUUGGUGCCAGCUUGCUUUCAGGUCCCCUCCUGUUGCUCAGCAGCUAUCUCUCAAUAAAG
RNAcentral lists this long non-coding RNA (1401 nucleotides) under Cavia porcellus (domestic guinea pig). Its description in RNAcentral is "lncRNA (ENSCPOG00000033580.1)". Lineage: Eukaryota; Metazoa; Chordata; Mammalia; Rodentia; Caviidae. The record is from RNAcentral.